This 295-nucleotide long non-coding RNA is filed under the name Gossypium barbadense (sea-island cotton). Its description in RNAcentral is "long non-coding RNA (GBAR_LNC011805)". Lineage: Eukaryota; Viridiplantae; Streptophyta; Magnoliopsida; Malvales; Malvaceae. The record is from RNAcentral.
GCCGGUGGUUGUUCCCGACGGACUAAGUGAGGUGGUGCCACCACCAAACACCGAUGGAGACCCGGUGGUUGUGCCGGUGGUUGUCCCCGUGGUGGGUGUCGUGGAAGGAAUCCCGGUGCUUGUCCCUGUUGUCGGUGUCCCCGUUGUUGGUGUGGUAGGAGUCCCUGUGGUUGGUGUUGUGGUAGGAGUCCCUGUGGUAGGUGUUGUUGGAGUCCCUGUAGUAGGAGUUGUCGGAGUCCCUGUACUCGGAGUUGUCGGAGUCCCUGUGGAUGGUGUUGUGCUUGUGCCACUGUAA